AGCCGCAGCUCCGAUUCGACCCCUAGCCUGGGAACCUCCAUCUGCUGCAGGUGCGGCCCUUAAAAUAAAAUAAAAUAAAAGGCACAUACAUUUAUCUGUCUCCUCAACUAGAAUGUUAGUUCAGUGGAGCAGAACUUUAUCGUGUGUGUGUGUGUGUGUGUUAUGCGUGCCUGGUGCUUAGAGCAAUUUCUCAUGCAUAGUAGACACCAGCCUCAUCCUCUAUCUGAGCAAUUUUUCCCAUGUGUGCAUAGUUUUGCAGAUUUUGUAGCACAUUUAUCACUCACUUUCUUAUUUUAUCCACCAGUCUUGUGUUGGCUCCUUGUUUGCUUCUGACAUGGCCAUUGCAUGAAAAGCACCCCAGCUCCUCUUUGGGUGUGUCUGCCUUUUGUACUUCUCACUCUCUUCUUAUUUUAGCUCUUCUCCCUGUGUACAUGGCAUCAUAUUUUGAUAACCUCCACUUAUCUAGCUCAUUUGUGUUUAAUCAAUGUUUUGUUGUUUGGGGUCUGCCUAGAAUUUUAGGUGUUGCUCUUGGACCCACCAUCACAACCAGGUACCCUCUCUGUACCUUGAGCCUUAGCCCCUGAAGCCCUAGGCUGCCCUCCAGCUCCUUCUUGUUGGGGAAGUGCAUGUAAGGUUUUGUUUCUUAGAAACUAUUCUCCUGAGACAUCUUGCUUCCAAGAAAGUGAACUUCCCUAGACAUCUGAACUUCCCGUCCCAUCACAUGGACUUGAGCAAGACAGAUUCUCAAGUCUGAAGGGAACUAUUACAGCGUAGCCUCCUUAAAGCUCCUCUCAGAGCAGAGGAUACGAGAGCUUGCUCUUCAUUAUCUCUUAGGUGCAGGAUCAUAUAUUCUUCAGGAAUCAUUGUUACUUGUAAUUUUUUGUGGCCUCUCAGUAACACACACACACACACACACACACACACACAAGUUUAAUGGAAAUUUUCAAACUAGUAGAGAGAAUUAACUCUCAUGUUCUCCUGCUCUGGCUUUAACAAUUAGCAAUUCAUGGCCAACUUUUGUUUUCUCUAUACCUCUACCCACUCCUGUGGUUCUGGCUUGUUUUGAAGCAAACCCCAGACAUCAUAUUAUUUCCUUUGUAGCUGUCAGAAUGUACUGCUAAAAGAGAAGGACUCCAUCUUAAACAUAACUUUAACAUAAUCCUAAAUGCUUCCCGAUAGCAGCAACAAUUUCUUAGUGUCAUCUUUUUAAAAUAGCUGAUUUGUUUGAAUGGCGGUUUGCAAAGGAAAAAAGGGGUCAUGGAUGCUUCAAAGAUCCUUCGUAUUUUUUAGUAAAGUAUUUACUUUUAAUUCAGCAUGAACAUGUUGGCACCUGGGGAGUAGAAGAGCAGAUCGUUAAAAAAGUCGUGAAUCAAUAUAGGUCAAAAAAUGAAGUAGAUCUCGCUGCUCUAGACAUUAUCUUCCUUAAGACCCCAUCCUCUGAGCUGACCCAUACCCUGACAGCAUGCUCAUCCCGUGAUCCCCAGAGGACCAUUUACCCCAGUCUCCCCUUGGAGAGACUCUGCCGCCAUUUUACAAGCAGCCUCAGGGUAACCUUUUGCACUGUUUCCCUCUGUCCAUGGUGCUGACCUGCCAGCCAGAGGAACUAUAACUUGCUUUGGGCCAUUGGGAUCUAAUGUAGAGUUACCAUCAAAGUGAACAUUAAAUAUACAUUAAAUAGUUCCAGGAAGAGCUGUCUAUGCUUAUACUCUGUUUGGAAAAAAAAAAAAAAAAGCAAAAACAAGCUGAAAGUGACAAGUAAAAAGGUUGAGUAUGUGUGUAUUGGUUUCUCUAUCUCAGACAUAGUAUAAAUAUUUUCAAAUAUGACCUCUUAACCAAGCUAUAAUGAGUUGAAAUAAAUUCCCAUUUCACAAAUUAAAAAUUGCCUCUCCCACUGGUUCACUAAUGCAGGUCUGAUAAUUGACAGAAUAACAACCGUUAAAAUGUUCCAAUUCCUUUCACUCCAUUGAGCAAAACAAUAAUGAGAAACUCUCAGUUAUUUCUUGAUAUGCAUGUAUAGUUGUCGACACUUUUUUUUUUUGGUGCAUCUCUCUACGAGGCCCCAUGCUAGGCACUAGUGGAUAGACAGAGCCAUAAGUCAUAACCUUGUUAUGCACAGUAUUAAUGGCAAAAUGGGGAAAUUAGUCACAGAAUUGUCAUAUACUAGAAAAAAUGUUGGGAUAGAAGGAUGUGUGUGGGCCUGUGACAGUGUAGAGUGUAGCCUCUGUUGGCUACCAGGAAAAGCUUCAUAGAGGGAAUCUUUUUUUUUUUUUUUUUUGUAGUGUUGAAAUUUUUUAUUUUAAAUGAAAAAUCAAUAGACUACCUAAGUCCCUCUAAAUUUCUGACUACGAAGAAGUUAAAACAGCAAACGAGGCCAAACAAAAAUUUCACUCUAAAUCCAAGAGGCAGAAAAACUUGUGCCAGUUCUCAGAUGUAUUCAAUUGGGGCAGAAGCCAAGCUCUGGCUAUUUUCAUAGUGAGUAUACAGGGGGUUGAAAUAGUAUUACCAAGUUCUUGCCACGUAGGGCACCCUAAAUAAACAAAAUAGCCUCAAUCCAGUUUGCUAGCCCUGAUGAUUACAUGUGCUCCAUGUGGUAGAAUUUCUUCUGUUUUUUUUUUUCAAUUUGAAGUCUUUUUAAAAUUACUCAAUGGACUUUAUUACAUUUAUAGUUGUACAGCGAUCAUCACAAGAGGGACUCUUGAAGGAUGGUUCGCAGAAGGGAAAAGAAAGGUGUUCCAAAGAGAGGUACCAUCGUGAACACAGAGCACAAAUACCUCCUGAUCAUCAGGGUGUGAUAAGAAUUCACUGGCCAGUCUCCUUGGAUAUUUCUUCUGAACUGUGCUAUUUGAUUCGGCACCACCAGUGGACUCAGGAGGAGGAUACAUUUCAAAAUCUGAAUUCAUAUCCAAAGGGGACUCAGCUUCUUGCGGUUUGAGCCUCAGAGCUUCUCGAAAGUCAGCGGUCCUUACAGGAGACUGUCUUUGAUUUCACAAGAAGCCUCUAACAACCUGUUUUCAUUUAUUGGAUGUGCCAAUUUCCCUGGUGUAAAUACUGCUGUGGCUGAUUUCAAGCACAAUGUGAUGUCACCAAAAGUGGAUUAGGGAAGAAGUGCUUACAGCAGCCCUCCUGAGUCCAGUCAUAUGAGUCAGGGCAUGCUUUGGGUCCACUCAACAAAUUAUCUCCAAGUUUUUCAGAGCCACCCUGGAAGGAUGGAGACAGUGACAAGGUAGAAAAAGUCUUGCUUUUUCUUUAGCACAACAUUCCAGAGAAUAAACUCUUUUGAUUUUUCCAGGUCCCCAAAUUAGUCUUCACAUGUGUUUGUCCCACUAUUCAGGUUUUUAACGUAGUAUCCAUGAUUUAAAUGUCAAGAACUCUGCUUAUUUUUAUUGUUGGCAGUCUAAUUUUGAUUUAAGAAUAUGAUAUCUACUCAACAAUCUCUCAGUGUGUUAAUUAUACUUAUUUUAGAGUUUUCUUCUGAUUUAUUUUUUAUUUUUUAUUUUUUAGGGCCGCACCUGUGGCCUGUGGAAAUUGUCACACUAGGGGUCAAAUUGGAGCUGCAA
Non-coding RNA from Sus scrofa (pig), 3557 nucleotides. The record is from RefSeq and is a predicted model, not a curated record. NCBI's taxonomy places the organism in Eukaryota, Metazoa, Chordata, Mammalia, Artiodactyla, Suidae.